UUCCAGGCCACAGGUGUGGCAUAUGGAGGUUCCCAGGCUAGGGAUCAAAUUGGAGCUACAGCUGCCAGCCUUCGCCUCAGUCAUAGCAACGAAAUAUCCGAGCCUCGUCUGUGACCUACUGCAGCCCGUGGCAAUAUUGGCUCCUCAACCCACUGAGCGAGGCCAGGGAUCAAACCUGGUGCCCUCGUGGAUACUAGUCUGGUUCAUUUCCACUGAGCCACAACGGGAACUCCACAUGUCCUUCAUUAUAAGGCUUAAUUAGUCCCUAGGAACUGAUGAACCCACGUGAUGGCAAUUCCCCCUAUAAAUGGUAGUCUCCACCCCCUGGUGAGCAAAGCCGGCUGCUAUGUCCUGCUUACUGUCGGCCUCGCAUGGUGGGGAUGUUGCUGCUCUAGGACCCUCUGUUUCCCUCUGGUAUAAUUCCGCAGAGGUCAAGUGUAUCAAAACUCAGGAGUCAUCUUCCCUCCCACGUGGAUGACAUGCCCAAGACGUGUUCUGGGAGCAAGAUGGGCUUGCAGAUCCCACGUUGACUAUUUACUAAGAGAUAAUACCGCUGCAAGGAUUGUGGCUUCAAAGAACAUGUUUUGGAAAUUAUGUAAGUAUGUAUAUUUAUACAAUGGAUUAUGAAAACCUUUUAAAAACAAACUUGGGUAUUUACAUCAUAGACCUUCAGACUCCAAAAAAGCUGUUUUGCUCUGUUUGCAAUGUCCAUUCAUGAGCGUGAGGUCUUUUAAAAAAUAUUGCCAUGCAAUGAAAUAAUGAGGGAAAACCACAAGAAAAAUAAGGUUAAUGAGCUCUCCCUUCAGACCACUAUUCUGCAUAAUUUAAGGGGUGGAAAAAGAAUAUCAGCAUAGGGAAAUUACAAACUGUGGCAAGAAUUAAGGAUAGAAAAUUGAAGCAAGCCCUAACAGAAUUGAACUGAAACGCUAUAAAAAGGGAAGAACAUAAGUAUUUACUUUUUCCCAGUUUAAUAAACUUUGUGGGAUGAGGGAUGGAAUGAUUUAAUUCUGGGUGGAGAAAAAUGUGCUUUUCAUCUUCAAAGCAUUUCAUUUGCAUAAAACAGCUCCAUGAAAUUAACAAAGGGUCUAGUCUGAUUAGUACUCAUUGCAUUUUUUUUUUAAAUGUUGUGCUUUUUAGUUUGAUAGAUCAGAGAUUUUCAAGGCACCCUUGGAGGUAUAACUUGAGUGCUUUUCAUGUCUUUUGUCUGUACUAAUUAUCAUUUUAAUCUUUCAUUCUCUAAUAGGAACACUUGCCUAUGGAAAUCAUUCUUUUUUUUUUUUUUUUUUUCUUUGUAAAAAUUGGUUCUCGAAACGGGUGGUCACUGUGUAACACCUGGCAUGCUGGGUCUCAAAACAGAUUGGCUGGAAAAUAGCAAAUUGUAGUUCAAUGCCAACAAUGCAAAGCCUGUAAUAUUUUAAAAGGAAGAAGACAAUAUUCUAUGAUGGAUGUAUGCAUGGCACAGGCACAAAACCUUGGGAGAAGAUGCUUACUAAAUUCAUGAUGGAGGCUGCCUCUGGGGAAAGAGAAGGGAGAAUGGUGCUGGGCAGGAAAUGGAGGGGCUUCAACUUAUUUUUUUUUUUUUUUUAAAGAUCUUAAAAUUCGGCCAAUUUAAUCUAUUGUAGUAGAUGGUGCUGUAUAGAUAUCUGCUGUCUGUUAUCUUUACUUUUCUGUUUUCUUUCUCCUCCUGUUGAAUAAACUACACAAUUUUAUGGAAAAGGAAAAAUCCCACUUGAGUUCAAUUGAACUCAGUUGUAGAUUGGCCAAUCAUAAAUGAAGCAGCUGUUACCGGGAGGGAAACAAAUCUAAACUCCAAUGAUAGAAAAAAUCAAAUCUGGCCUUUGUAUAAGGUCUUCUCUUUAAUUCUCUCUCUUUUUUUGUCUUUUUAGGGCCAUACCUGUGG
Molecule: non-coding RNA, 1900 nt
Organism: Sus scrofa (pig)
Lineage: Eukaryota; Metazoa; Chordata; Mammalia; Artiodactyla; Suidae
Source: RefSeq, a predicted model, not a curated record